GAAAGGGAAGUUGUAGCUCCGCUCUGAUCGUGUGAAAAAUAACAUGUGCACAGUCUGCUCUCAAGAGGUUGCUCAAGCAAGUACAUGAACAGAGACCGCACCCCAGCGUCGGCUGCCAUUAACUGCGGGACUAAGACUGAAGUGCCAAAUAAGCAGCCACACGGCUCCGUCUGCACCAGGCACCACAAGCACCCACCCACAGACCCCGAGCUCAUCUCCGGGCUCCCUGCUGCGCUGGCCCGUCGGCCCACUGCUGCAAGUCUGUGCUGGAGGGCUGUGCCACGAGCAUGCAGAGGGGGCCCACAGGGCAUUCGGACUUCCAGAAAUGAGUGCCAACACCCUCCUUCUGCCUUCAGUCAGGGGAUGACCAGAGCUGACACUUGAAUGAUCCAGCUUCUUACACCCUCCGGUGGGAUCCACCAAGGCAGGUUCCUCACACGGCCUCCCAGAGCACCAGCAAAGCAGGGCUCCAGCUGCCCACAGUGGUGACUUGCUUGGUAACCCACUACUGGAGAUUCUGCUGUUUCUUUCACCUUCCAAAUAAACUACGGACACAGAUGCCCAUGUCUCUCUGAGGAGAAGUCAAUCUAAGAAAAUACCUCAUACCAUAAGGACCUGAAGAUACAUGAAGUGAAGUCGCUCAGUCGUGUCUGACUCUUUUCGACCCCAUGGACUGUAGCCUACCAGGCUCCUCUGUCCAUGGAAUUUUCCAGGCAAUAGUACUGGAGUGGAUUGCCAUUUCCUUCUCCAGGCGAUCUUCCCGACCCAGGGAUCAAACCAGGGUCUCCUGCAUUGCAUUAAGAGACUUUCAGGGAACUCUCUUAAAUCUUCUGGAAACAAAUAAACUUUAGAGUCUCAGGUUUUUCACAGAAUUAGCAAUACACAAUCUAGAGAUAUUUACAGAAUAUUAAGAUAAAAUUCCAGUAGUGUUUGUGAUGACCAGAGUCCACUAGACUUAUAAGAGUAAUUCAGAAGAAUGCUAUCAUGAGUUUUUUCACUUUGCAUGGUGAGUGAGUUCAUUCUAACUCAAAAAGAUAAAAUCUCUUUGAUAUAAUGAAAAGCAAUUCUAAAACACAUUUUUUUUUAACAUGGAGAAGUUCCAUUCCAGAAAUAAUUAUUGAAGGCCUACUAGCUUCCAGACAUGAAGACGACCUAGCCCCUGUCCUCAGAGAAGUUAGUACCUAGAAAAAUGAGAGACAGACAUGUAAGUCAAUAAUUACACUAGGGUCAAAAAGUGUGAUAAUUAAACUGUGAACAAAGACACUGGAGGAAGGUCUGUCUGAAUGGAAAAGAGCUAAAUAAAGUUUCACAAGCAGCUAUAGUUCAAGGUUUUCAAAGAUGUCUGGGAUUACAGGGGUGGGACAGAGAGAACACACCAGGUAGAGAGGCCAGCCUGGGAGAAAGCAGAAAGAAGCAAAAGCAGGUCUGUGUGUUCAUCAAGUCUGGGCACCAGGUCAACAGAAGUAAAAUGGAAUACUCACAUGCAAGAGAGUAACUUUUGUCUUCAAACUGUAAAAUCGUCACAGGAAUCACUUGACAAAAAUAUCUGACAAGUUUUCUACUUCAAAAAAGCCUCUAACAUGCCAGGCCCUCAUGUAUUAUCCCUGAAGCAUAAAUAAGAGAAAAAUUGUCUGACUCAAAAUAUAGUUACUGCCUAUAUACAAUGAGAUUCCAACUAUAUGACAUAUAACUACGGAUACAGUUGAAAGAUCAGUGGUCUUGAGAGUGGCAGGGGCAGAAGGCUGAAGAAGUAGAGCACAGGCAAUUUUCGAGGUGGUUAAAAUACUCCAUGG
Bos taurus (domestic cattle) is the source of this 1793-nucleotide long non-coding RNA. The record is from Ensembl. Lineage: Eukaryota; Metazoa; Chordata; Mammalia; Artiodactyla; Bovidae.